GACACUAUGUGUUGUUGGGUAGGGGAGCGUUCUGUAAGCCUGCGAAGGUGUGCUGUGAGGCAUGCUGGAGGUAUCAGAAGUGCGAAUGCUGACAUAAGUAACGAUAAAGCGGGUGAAAAGCCCGCUCGCCGGAAGACCAAGGGUUCCUGUCCAACGUUAAUCGGGGCAGGGUGAGUCGACCCCUAAGGCGAGGCCGAAAGGCGUAGUCGAUGGGAAACAGGUUAAUAUUCCUGUACUUGGUGUUACUGCGAAGGGGGGACGGAGAAGGCUAUGUUAGCCGGGCGACGGUUGUCCCGGUUUAAGCAUGUAGGCUGGUUAUCCAGGCAAAUCCGGAUAAUCAAGGCUGAGGUGUGAUGACGAGGCACUACGGUGCUGAAGUAACAAAUGCCCUGCUUCCAGGAAAAGCCUCUAAGCAUCAGGUAACAUCAAAUCGUACCCCAAACCGACACAGGUGGUCAGGUAGAGAAUACCAAGGCGCUUGAGAGAACUCGGGUGAAGGAACUAGGCAAAAUGGUGCCGUAACUUCGGGAGAAGGCACGCUGGUGUGUAGGUGAAGUCCCUGCGGAUGGAGCUGAGACCAGUCGAAGAUACCAGCUGGCUGCAACUGUUUAUUAAAAACACAGCACUGUGCAAACACGAAAGUGGACGUAUACGGUGUGACGCCUGCCCGGUGCCGGAAGGUUAAUUGAUGGGGUUAUCCGUAAGGAGAAGCUCUUGAUCGAAGCCCCGGUAAACGGCGGCCGUAACUAUAACGGUCCUAAGGUAGCGAAAUUCCUUGUCGGGUAAGUUCCGACCUGCACGAAUGGCGUAAUGAUGGCCAGGCUGUCUCCACCCGAGACUCAGUGAAAUUGAACUCGCUGUGAAGAUGCAGUGUACCCGCGGCAAGACGGAAAGACCCCGUGAACCUUUACUAUAGCUUGACACUGAACAUUGAGCCUUGAUGUGUAGGAUAGGUGGGAGGCUUUGAAGCGUGGACGCCAGUCUGCGUGGAGCCAACCUUGAAAUACCACCCUUUAAUGUUUGAUGUUCUAACGUUGGCCCCUGACCGGGGUUGCGGACAGUGUCUGGUGGGUAGUUUGACUGGGGCGGUCUCCUCCCAAAGCGUAACGGAGGAGCACGAAGGUUAGCUAAUCCUGGUCGGACAUCAGGAGGUUAGUGCAAUGGCAUAAGCUAGCUUGACUGCGAGCGUGACGGCGCGAGCAGGUGCGAAAGCAGGUCAUAGUGAUCCGGUGGUUCUGAAUGGAAGGGCCAUCGCUCAACGGAUAAAAGGUACUCCGGGGAUAACAGGCUGAUACCGCCCAAGAGUUCAUAUCGACGGCGGUGUUUGGCACCUCGAUGUCGGCUCAUCACAUCCUGGGGCUGAAGUAGGUCCCAAGGGUAUGGCUGUUCGCCAUUUAAAGUGGUACGCGAGCUGGGUUUAGAACGUCGUGAGACAGUUCGGUCCCUAUCUGCCGUGGGCGCUGGAGAAUUGAGGGGGGCUGCUCCUAGUACGAGAGGACCGGAGUGGACGCAUCACUGGUGUUCGGGUUGUCAUGCCAAUGGCACUGCCCGGUAGCUAAAUGCGGAAGAGAUAAGUGCUGAAAGCAUCUAAGCACGAAACUUGCCCCGAGAUGAGUUCUCCCUGAGACUUUAAGUCUCCUGAAGGAACGUUAAAGACGAUGACGUUGAUAGGCCGGGUGUGUAAGCGCAGCGAUGCGUUGAGCUAACCGGUACUAAUGAACCGUGAGGCUUAACCUUACAACGCCGAAG
Molecule: ribosomal RNA, 1749 nt
Filed under: Klebsiella pneumoniae subsp. pneumoniae
Lineage: Bacteria; Pseudomonadati; Pseudomonadota; Gammaproteobacteria; Enterobacterales; Enterobacteriaceae
Description: bacterial LSU rRNA
Rfam family: Bacterial large subunit ribosomal RNA
Source: RNAcentral